AGUCCUGUGGUCUAGCGGUUAAGAUUUCGCUCUUAUACCGUAUGCGACGGUCGUGGGUUCAAUCCCCACCAGGACUA
Non-coding RNA from Thermochaetoides thermophila DSM 1495, 77 nucleotides. Lineage: Eukaryota; Fungi; Ascomycota; Sordariomycetes; Sordariales; Chaetomiaceae. The record is from the annotation of a RefSeq genome assembly.